UAGGGAAGUAAUAAGAGUCUACAACUCUGGAGAUACCAUCAUCACCAUGAGUGUUUCACCUUGAACUCUAGAUAAAGCAAUUACAGUCAUAUUUUCUUUACCUUGUUUGUAUUGAACUUCAAAAUCAAAGAGCAGAAAUUUGGAUAAUCAUACGAUUUGAGAAUCAAUGUGUAACUUUUUCUCUAAUAAAGACUUCAAUGCCUUCUGGUAUGUUUUGAUAGUAAAAUGCUGGCUGAAAAGAUAAUGUGACAAUUUGAUCACAAAAAUACCAAAAAUAGGAUUUCCCUUUCAUAAACAGAAAAUGAGAUUAAAUAUAUGUGUGUGCUUAAAAACUCCUAUAGUGUAGUAAUUAU
RNAcentral lists this long non-coding RNA (353 nucleotides) under Nicotiana benthamiana. Its description in RNAcentral is "long non-coding RNA (NBEN_LNC002040)". The record is from RNAcentral. Lineage: Eukaryota; Viridiplantae; Streptophyta; Magnoliopsida; Solanales; Solanaceae.